GUGUUCGAUUAAAGGAGAAAUGGUUGGCAUCUCCCUUGAUAGGGUUGGGAACAGCUUUCAGGCCUUCUGUUAACACAAAAAAAAAAAAAAUCAUUAUCAUCUUGU
RNAcentral lists this non-coding RNA (105 nucleotides) under Cucumis melo (muskmelon). Lineage: Eukaryota; Viridiplantae; Streptophyta; Magnoliopsida; Cucurbitales; Cucurbitaceae. The record is from RNAcentral.